AUACUCACGUGGCAGGGGAGAUACCAUGAUCGCAAAGGUAGUUUUUCUGGGGUGAGGUUUAUCCAUUGUACUCUGGAUGUGCUGACCCGUGCGAUUUCCCCAAAUGUGGAAAACUUGACUGCACAAUUUGUGGUGGUGGGGAACUGUGUUCACACUUUCUUC
This 162-nucleotide small nuclear RNA is filed under the name Cebus imitator (Panamanian white-faced capuchin). RNAcentral describes it as "U1 spliceosomal RNA (ENSCCAG00000010047.1)". It matches the Rfam family "U1 spliceosomal RNA". From Rfam's summary of the family: U1 is a small nuclear RNA (snRNA) component of the spliceosome (involved in pre-mRNA splicing). Its 5' end forms complementary base pairs with the 5' splice junction, thus defining the 5' donor site of an intron. There are significant differences in sequence and secondary structure between metazoan and yeast U1 snRNAs, the latter being much longer (568 nucleotides as compared to 164 nucleotides in human). Lineage: Eukaryota; Metazoa; Chordata; Mammalia; Primates; Cebidae. The record is from RNAcentral.